GGGUUGUGAGGUUAAGCGACUAAGCGUACACGGUGGAUGCCCUGGCAGUCAGAGGCGAUGAAGGACGUGCUAAUCUGCGAAAAGCGUCGGUAAGGUGAUAUGAACCGUUACAGCCGGCGAUGUCCGAAUGGGGAAACCCAGUGUGAUUCGUCACACUAUCGUUAACUGAAUACAUAGGUUAACGAGGCGAACCGGGGGAACUGAAACAUCUAAGUACCCCGAGGAAAAGAAAUCAACCGAGAUUCCCCCAGUAGCGGCGAGCGAACGGGGAGCAGCCCAGAGUCUGAAUCAGCUUGUGUGUUAGUGGAACGGUCUGGAAAGUCCGACGGUACAGGGUGAUAGUCCCGUACACCAAAAUGCACAGGCUGUGAACUCGAAGAGUAGGGCGGGACACGUGGUAUCCUGUCUGAAUAUGGGGACCAUCCUCCAAGGCUAAAUACUCCUGACUGACCGAUAGUGAACCAGUACCGUGAGGGAAAGGCGAAAAGAACCCCGGCGAGGGGAGUGAAAAGAACCUGAAACCGUGUACGUACAAGCAGUGGGAGCACCUUCGGGUGUGACUGCGUACCUUUGUAUAAUGGGUCAGCGACUUAUAUUCUGUAGCAAGGUUAACCGUAUAGGGAGCCGCAGGGAAACCGAGUCUUAACUGGGCGUUAAGUUGCAGGGUAUAGACCCGAAACCCGGUGAUCUAGCCAUGGGCAGGUUGAAGGUUGGGUAACACUAACUGGAGGACCGAACCGACUAAUGUUGAAAAAUUAGCGGAUGACUUGUGGCUGGGGUGAAAGGCCAAUCAAACCGGGAGAUAGCUGGUUCUCCCGAAAGCUAUUUAGGUAGCGCCUCGUGAAUUCAUCUUCGGGGUAGAGCACUGUUUCGGCUAGGGGGUCAUCCCGACUUACCAACCCGAUGCAAACUACGAAUACCGAAGAAUGUUAUCACGGGAGACACACGGCGGGUGCUAACGUCCGUCGUGAAGAGGGAAACAACCCAGACCGCCAGCUAAGGUCCCAAAGUCAUGGUUAAGUGGGAAACGAUGUGGGAAGGCACAGACAGCCAGGAUGUUGGCUUAGAAGCAGCCAUCAUUUAAAGAAAGCGUAAUAGCUCACUGGUCGAGUCGGCCUGCGCGGAAGAUGUAACGGGGCUAAACCAUGCACCGAAGCUGCGGCAGCGACACUAUGUGUUGUUGGGUAGGGGAGCGUUCUGUAAGCCUGCGAAGGUGACCUGUGAGGGUUGCUGGAGGUAUCAGAAGUGCGAAUGCUGACAUAAGUAACGAUAAAGCGGGUGAAAAGCCCGCUCGCCGGAAGACCAAGGGUUCCUGUCCAACGUUAAUCGGGGCAGGGUGAGUCGACCCCUAAGGCGAGGCCGAAAGGCGUAGUCGAUGGGAAACAGGUUAAUAUUCCUGUACUUGGUGUUACUGCGAAGGGGGGACGGAGAAGGCUAUGUUAGCCGGGCGACGGUUGUCCCGGUUUAAGCAUGUAGGCUGGUUAUCCAGGCAAAUCCGGAUAAUCAAGGCUGAGGUGUGAUGACGAGGCACUACGGUGCUGAAGUAACAAAUGCCCUGCUUCCAGGAAAAGCCUCUAAGCAUCAGGUAACAUUAAAUCGUACCCCAAACCGACACAGGUGGUCAGGUAGAGAAUACCAAGGCGCUUGAGAGAACUCGGGUGAAGGAACUAGGCAAAAUGGUGCCGUAACUUCGGGAGAAGGCACGCUGGUGUGUAGGUGAAGUCCCUGCGGAUGGAGCUGAGACCAGUCGAAGAUACCAGCUGGCUGCAACUGUUUAUUAAAAACACAGCACUGUGCAAACACGAAAGUGGACGUAUACGGUGUGACGCCUGCCCGGUGCCGGAAGGUUAAUUGAUGGGGUUAUCCGUAAGGAGAAGCUCUUGAUCGAAGCCCGGUAAACGGCGGCCGUAACUAUAACGGUCCUAAGGUAGCGAAAUUCCUUGUCGGGUAAGUUCCGACCUGCACGAAUGGCGUAAUGAUGGCCAGGCUGUCUCCACCCGAGACUCAGUGAAAUUGAACUCGCUGUGAAGAUGCAGUGUACCCGCGGCAAGACGGAAAGACCCCGUGAACCUUUACUAUAGCUUGACACUGAACAUUGAGCCUUGAUGUGUAGGAUAGGUGGGAGGCUUUGAAGCGUGGACGCCAGUCUGCGUGGAGCCGACCUUGAAAUACCACCCUUUAAUGUUUGAUGUUCUAACGUUGGCCCCUUACCGGGGUUGCGGACAGUGUCUGGUGGGUAGUUUGACUGGGGCGGUCUCCUCCCAAAGCGUAACGGAGGAGCACGAAGGUUAGCUAAUCCUGGUCGGACAUCAGGAGGUUAGUGCAAUGGCAUAAGCUAGCUUGACUGCGAGCGUGACGGCGCGAGCAGGUGCGAAAGCAGGUCAUAGUGAUCCGGUGGUUCUGAAUGGAAGGGCCAUCGCUCAACGGAUAAAAGGUACUCCGGGGAUAACAGGCUGAUACCGCCCAAGAGUUCAUAUCGACGGCGGUGUUUGGCACCUCGAUGUCGGCUCAUCACAUCCGGGGCUGAAGUAGGUCCCAAGGGUAUGGCUGUUCGCCAUUUAAAGUGGUACGCGAGCUGGGUUUAGAACGUCGUGAGACAGUUCGGUCCCUAUCUGCCGUGGGCGCUGGAGAAUUGAGGGGGGCUGCUCCUAGUACGAGAGGACCGGAGUGGACGCAUCACUGGUGUUCGGGUUGUCAUGCCAAUGGCACUGCCCGGUAGCUAAAUGCGGAAGAGAUAAGUGCUGAAAGCAUCUAAGCACGAAACUUGCCCCGAGAUGAGUUCUCCCUGAGACUUUAAGUCUCCUGAAGGAACGUUGAAGACGACGACGUUGAUAGGCCGGGUGUGUAAGCGCAGCGAUGCGUUGAGCUAACCGGUACUAAUGAACCGUGAGGCUUAACCUUACAACGCCGAAG
RNAcentral lists this ribosomal RNA (2913 nucleotides) under Klebsiella pneumoniae. RNAcentral describes it as "23S ribosomal RNA". It matches the Rfam family "Bacterial large subunit ribosomal RNA". The record is from RNAcentral. Lineage: Bacteria; Pseudomonadati; Pseudomonadota; Gammaproteobacteria; Enterobacterales; Enterobacteriaceae.